RNAcentral lists this small RNA (34 nucleotides) under Bombyx mori (domestic silkworm). RNAcentral describes it as "ovarian small RNA-12977". Lineage: Eukaryota; Metazoa; Arthropoda; Insecta; Lepidoptera; Bombycidae. The record is from RNAcentral.
CACCUCGUGAUCGGAGGCGUCCGCGUCGGGGUCG